AACGUAGGAGACAACCGUUAUCCGGAGUUACUGGGCGUAAAGCGCGUGUAGGCGGCCCGGCACGUCAUCGGCUGAAAUCCCUCGGCUUAACCGGGGAACUGCAUCUGAUACUGGAUGGCUUGAGUUCGGGAGAGGGAUGCGGAAUUCCAGGUGUAGCGGUGAAAUGCGUAGAUAUCUGGAGGAACACCGGUGGCGAAGACGGCAUCCUGGACCGACACUGACGCUGAGGAGCGAAAGCCAGGGGAGCAAACGGG
Molecule: ribosomal RNA, 254 nt
Filed under: uncultured bacterium
Lineage: Bacteria
Description: partial 16S ribosomal RNA
Rfam family: Bacterial small subunit ribosomal RNA
Source: RNAcentral